This 253-nucleotide ribosomal RNA is filed under the name uncultured bacterium. RNAcentral's name for it is "partial 16S ribosomal RNA". It matches the Rfam family "Bacterial small subunit ribosomal RNA", at positions 524 to 776 of the family's 1533-position model. The record is from RNAcentral.
UACGUAGGGGGCAAGCGUUGUCCGGAUUUAUUGGGCGUAAAGAGCGUGUAGGCGGUCAGGUAGGUCCGUUGUGAAAACUCGAGGCUCAACCUCGAGACGCCGAUGGAAACCAUCUGACUAGAGUCCGGAAGAGGAGAGUGGAAUUCCUGGUGUAGCGGUGAAAUGCGCUGAUAUCAGGAAGAACACCCGUGGCUAAGGCGGCUCUCUAGUACGGUACUGACGCUGAGACGCGAAAGCGUGGGGAGCGAACAGG